RNAcentral lists this ribosomal RNA (397 nucleotides) under uncultured bacterium. Its description in RNAcentral is "partial 16S ribosomal RNA". It matches the Rfam family "Bacterial small subunit ribosomal RNA", at positions 523 to 918 of the family's 1533-position model. The record is from RNAcentral.
AUACGUAGGGGGCGAGCGUUGUCCGGAAUGAUUGGGCGUAAAGGGCGCGUAGGCGGCCCGGUAAGUCUGGAGUGAAAGUCCUGUUUUUAAGAUGGGAAUUGCUUUGGAUACUGUCGGGCUUGAGUGCCGGAGAGGUAAGUGGAAUUCGCAGUGGAGCGGUGAAAUGCGUAGAGAUUGGGAGGAACACCAGUGGCGAAGGCGACUUACUGGACUGUAACUGACGCUGAGGCGCGAAAGUGUGGGGGGCAAACAGGAUUAGAUACCCUGGUAGUCCACACUGUAAACGAUGAAUGCUAGGUGUAGGGGGUAUCGACCCCUUCUGUGCCGCAGUCAACACAAUAAGCAUUCCGCCUGGGGAGUACGGCCGCAAGGUUGAGACUCAAAGGAAUUGACGGGG